CCCAAUCCCCCCACCCGCACCACUCCCUCCCUGCCCCGCGCCCAAUCCCCUCGCCCGCACCGCUCCCUCCCUCCUCGAUCUCUCUCCCUGGCUAGCCGCCAUUGGUGGGAAACCGUAGCCCAUUAUCCCAAUCAACACAGCCGCAUCUCCUCUCCUUCUUUCUCCCUUCUCCCCCCUCCUCCCCUCACCACAGCCGCAACCUAGAGGCUUCGCCGUCCGUUUCGAUGAGAUCCACCACCUCAUGAGGUUCUCAUCUGCCCCAGGUUGCGAGGAAGCCGCGGGAGGAGGAGUGACCUCGGUGCGAGAUAGGUACGGAGGAGGAGCUCAACCAACGCGUCUUCGGCCGGAGGAGGGAAGCAGCGGAUGCGAGCCAUGAGGCGGAUCGGCUGGGCCCAGGUAUGGAGGCGGCUGGGGCGGGCGCGGAGAGGGCCGAUGCGGCGGCGGCCAAGGACAGGGAGGACGAGGUUGCAUCCAUCAGCGAGAAGCGGCCGAUCCACCUGCGUGCUGUCACUGCAGGGAUAGCGCCGCCGUCUCCCUCUCCCCUCGUGGCACCUCCCUAUAUGUUGAGGUUGGUCCUGGAAUGGUUGGCUUUGGGACUUUUGGUGGUAGUAUAUUCUUAUGCCGAUGACAAGCAUUUGCAGGACGAUUAUGUGGUUAUCUGUGGCAGUGUGCUCCUAUCCUCCCCGCCUCCAUACUUCAUUUUUGGAAAACUAAUGAUUUUAAUUCCUGGAUGUCAUAGAUGUUGAGGUUGGUCCUGGAAUGGUUGGCUUUGGGACUUUUGGUGGCAGUAUAUUCUUAUGCCAACGACAAGCAUUUGCAGGAUAAUUAUGUGGUUAUCUGUGGCAGUGUGCUCCUAUCCUCCCCGCCUCCAUACUUCAUUUUUGGAAAACUAAUGAUUUUAAUUCCUGGAUAUCAUAGGUACCAUUGGUUGUGCCUCAGCUUCGUAGCCGAUCUUCGAUCGUCCAUGGCAUCAACACACAAAUUUAUAAUGCAAACCUCAGGUCAAUACCUCCCCUAUUUGAUUUCUGCGGCAGAGUGCUAAUAACUUUUAUUGUUUGUGUUUUUGGAUAAGAUUUGCAUGGUAUUUCUAUCAUUGGUUGAUUUCUUGGAUACUUUCACUAUAGUAGUUGUUCUGCCUCAUCUAUCACUAUCUGUGGGCUUGCUUUGAUUAUGUGUCUCCCAACUUUCUGUAACUAAAAAGCAGCCUAUAAAUGUAGCUUGAAUAAAAAUGGUACCUUUCUGUUUUGUGCAAGUUCAAAGUAUUAGUAGUUUCAGUUUGUCCAAUUUUUGCAGGGAUAUUGUGUGAGGUCUGGUACAAACUUUAAGACAAUCACUUAAUACAUUCAUGGGAUCACCAACUUUUGGCAUUUGUUGAUACUAGCUAGGUGGGGCCAUGAAUUCCUAGAAGAUUGUGGCAAUUAUCCUGCUUCGCUUGCAAGAUUGGUUUCUAAAAAUAUCAUAGUAGUUGUAAUUUCAGAUUGCUGCUGAUUUGACUAAAUAUGUUUUGAUUGUUUUUAAGCUUUGACUCUUUACUGUGUGCACAACUAAUUCAUUCCUAAUUAAAUCUUUCAAUGGUUGAUGGGAACACUACAGAUCUUGCUUCUCUGCUUUUUAAUGUUUCAUAUGUUUUCAUGUACAAACCGAGGCAUGCGGAUGCGGGCGUGAUGGCGGGCAUCUCCAGCAGCGGCGGCGACCUGCAGGCAGGAGGCAACGACUGGGGUGUUUGAUUAGAUCCAGCGCCAUGGCCCGGUCCCUAUAGGAGAGAGAGAUGAGGGACAGAGAGAGAAGGAAGGAGAGGAGGGAGAAAGAGAGAGGGAGUGGACUCUUCAAGAUCGAGGUCACCAUUGGACAGGCCGAGUAUGUCCAUCGACAGCCUGCCCAGUGUCCGGAUUCACCAAACAAUACAACCGGAAACGCUGUCGGCUGCCUGCAGCAGGCACCAAGCCGUCCGCUGUUGUCUCUGCCCGAAGAAGGAUUAUGGUUCUCCACCUCUUUGCUACUCAUAUUAAAAUUCUGCUAUUCCGGAGAAGUUUAGAGCUUCGGCAACCUUUUGAAGACACGAUUUAUAGUUGCGGAGAUAAAACAAUCAAUUAGUUGCGAUGCAUUACAUAAUCUUUUUGCUCUGGACAUUGAUGGGUAUUGCAGACUCCUUUAUUUUUCCACAAAGGACAGGAGUUGUGCCAUUUGACUCGAAGAACAAAACGUUCAUCACAAGGGGGUGGUCUUUAGGAUGUACACAAAAGAGGAAAUUUCAUUUUGUAUAGAACCAAAUUAUAUGAUGUAAUUGACCAUUCUCUUGUACACAAUGUUUAUCAUGUAUUAAGUACAUUUUAUUGUCAAAUAUGUUUACUUUUUUUA
Long non-coding RNA from Triticum aestivum (bread wheat), 2358 nucleotides. RefSeq lists it as uncharacterized. The transcript has 6 exons. NCBI's taxonomy places the organism in Eukaryota, Viridiplantae, Streptophyta, Magnoliopsida, Poales, Poaceae. The record is from RefSeq and is a predicted model, not a curated record.